Molecule: ribosomal RNA, 213 nt
Filed under: uncultured fungus
Lineage: Eukaryota; Fungi
Description: partial small subunit ribosomal RNA
Rfam family: Eukaryotic small subunit ribosomal RNA (bases 89-213)
Source: RNAcentral
GGCCUGGUUGGACGGUCUGCCAUUUGGUUAGUACUGUCCUGACUGGGUCUUACCUUCUGGCAAACUGUCGUGCUGAUUUCAGUGCGGCAGAGAGCCAGGACUUUUACUUUGAAAAAAUUAGAGUGUUUAAAGCAGGCAUUCGCUUGAAUACAUUAGCAUGGAAUAAUAAAAUAGGACUUUGGUUCUAUUUUGUUGGUUUCUAGGACCGAAGUA